GUGAAAAGCUUCCACUUCAAGGUGUACAGUUUCCUCGUUGAGGGAGCUCUGGAUUGGAGGAUGGUCUCAACAACCUUGGUUGAGAGACCGGAAGCUACGAGUUGUGCCCCCUCAGAGGCCACACCUAUAAAUUCCACAGCUCCGGGCGGGGGUGGACUAUAGUGCCCUCCGCCUCUAAGAGGAGAUCCCUCCUGACGGGAAUCUCCCAAGGAGAGCCGUCGAGGAGGGAAAUCAAGGAUCUGGUAUGCUAGUUUGUACAAACGGAGUGAGCGCAGACCCCCUUGGUGGUUGAUGUAAGAGACCACCGCAGUGUUGUCAUUGCGCACCAACACAUGGUGACCUCUUAGGUCUGGGAGAAAGUGUUGUAGUGCUCGAAGCAUGGCCAGCAUCUCCAGGAAGUUUAUAUGCCAUGUCAGAUGGCGACCACUCCACAGACCGCGGCCAGGGUGGCCACUCAUGACCUCACCCCAGCCAGUGAGGAACACGACCGUCGCUAGCAUUACGCAGCAACAAGGAGCUCCCAGCACCGGGCCCUGAAACAAGAACCAAGGCUUUCUCCACAUAAGGCACGUAGGCAUCGCCGCAUGACCUUGAUCAUGCAAAGUGGGUUUCCCCUUUGGGAGAACCCCUUGUUCUUGAGCCACCACUGUAGGGGUCUCAUGUACAGCAGGCCAAGAGGUAUCACGUUGGAUGCAGCUUCCAUCAGACCCAGCAGUCUCUGAAACUGCUUGACAGUGAGUGACCGGCCUUCUCUCGCUCCCGCGACUGCGGUGAGGAUCGACUUGAGCCGAGCAGGUGACAUUCAUGCCUGUAUCGUGGUCGAAUCCCACACCACGCCUAGAUAAUUGGUCCUCUAUAAUGGAGAAAGUACACUUUUCUUGGCGUUUAGUCUUAACCCUAGCUCUCUCAUGUGGGCGAGAAUGACAUCUCGAUGUCAAACCACUGUCUGCUCUGAUUGAGCUAAAAUCAACCAAUCGUCGAUAUAGUUCAGUAUGCGUGCUUCCAAUCCCUGAGAACGGGUACUGGAUCUGGCGGGUGAGGAAGAAGAUAGGGAACUCGCCUGUCUCCAUUCCCUCCGCCAGAUUCAACUGCGAACCCCACAAGCAAGACCGCCGAUCUGCCGACUCUGCCGACUCUGCCGACUCUGCAUGAUCCGCUCCAAGGCAGACAACGCACAAACUAUGUGUAUCUCCACCCAUUAUGUAACACGGGCAGGGAGGAACAUACAGCUUGAAACGCUGCCUGGCCUCGCCCAGUUUGUGCUUAGUCUUUUGAGGUGCUUUUGACAUGUUGGGAGGGACAAACAACACUAAAUAUGGUACAAUAUGGUACAGAAAGACAGAAGGCUAAAUGCCGGCUUUGCUGCACGUGCUUUUAAGCUUCCUGGUCUCUGACGUCACCCGCCUGUGACAUCUCGCCUAUCCAUUGGUCUGAUUACUGUGGCAGGGUGGAAGGAACACGCAACAGCAAACUCAAGUGCAAAGCCACAGAGGGUGGAUUUUAUUAUAAAGUGCAGGGUUACGAGGGUGAUGGCGGUGGUCUAGCGUGCGGUGAUGCUCUCGCUCGAGUCCGGGUGCAGGUGAAGCCGUGAGGUGCUCGUGGCAGUGUCCUCUGGUUACUCGCUGUCUGGAAGAGAUCGGAGAGAGAAGUAUCAGUGGGGUAGCUCGUGGAGAGGCUUCUCACCCGUGUCCUGAGUGCACGCUGUUUAUAUGGAGCCCGGCUGAUGAGAGGCAGGUGCUGGUGAUCAGCCCGUGAUGAGUUUCGAGCCGGUGCUCCUCGUGAAUUACCAGGGCAACGCUGAUGUGGAAUCGGGACGCUCGUCACAUUACACACAUGAUUCAGAGCCGGUCAUGCUGAAGGUGUUCCCAAAGCGUUCUCCGACACAGCUCGAGUUCCUGAAGAGGAACUUAAGUUGUAUUUUUAGUGUCGAUUGCAUCGCCAUUUUAUUGCAAUUAUGGAUUUGGCAAUUAUUCUUUUCAAAUUAAGCACUGGAUAUGGACAUGUAAUGCAGUAGACAAAACUGUAACUACUACAUGGCCAUGCAUUUACUGAAAAAUAAUUGCACACCUUGGAACAUUCAUCAGCCAAUCAGAAUCAAGCAUUCAACUGCCCUUGUACAAUAAUAUUUAUUAAAUCUCAUAUGAAGGAGCAUCUAAUCAGCUAAUCUCAGAAUGAAAUCUUUGUUAAUAAUGGGUGUGCAAAGCAUCCGAAAGUGAAUACUUCCCUACUAUACAAUACUGUAUUGCGAAAAUCAUAAUGGCACAAGUGUAAUAUGUUUGAAUACUCCAUCUGAAAGCUAAGACAGCUGACUUGUUGCCUCGCUGCCCAGCAAUAACUUCUCAGGUGGUGUUUGCACACAAAUGUACCUCCCUAAACUGAUUUUAUAUAAAAUACAUAUAAUGGUCUAAUGAUCUACAACAAAACAGAGAGAGCUUUGGUGAUAACUAGGUGAAUA
Cyprinus carpio carpio is the source of this 2455-nucleotide long non-coding RNA. The record is from Ensembl. Lineage: Eukaryota; Metazoa; Chordata; Actinopteri; Cypriniformes; Cyprinidae.